Molecule: long non-coding RNA, 9132 nt
Filed under: Heterocephalus glaber (naked mole-rat)
Lineage: Eukaryota; Metazoa; Chordata; Mammalia; Rodentia; Bathyergidae
Description: lncRNA (ENSHGLG00100037464.1)
Source: RNAcentral
GGUCCCUCCCCUGGGUCUGCUGUUUUCCUCUGUGGAGUUAGAGGCCGCUCUGCCUCCGCUUUUGUACCCUGUCACCAGCCGGGGUGGGGACCCGGUGGAAGAACGCUGGGAAUCCGGCAGCUGGUAAUGAAUUCAGCAGUGAAGCCACUGGGACCCAGACUUUUCUUAGUUGAGCUGUGCAGUCUCCAUAAAUAUAUCACAGGGAAGAGAAUCAGGUGCCCUCCUUUACAUCCACCUAAUUCUUUGAAGCUGCCACUUUUCAACCACCAGGUGCUGAGAGGUUCCUAGGAAGGGCAACAGACCUCCAGAAGCCAAGAAAUGGUGAGUAGGGGGCCCAGUGUAGCAAGACGGAAGAGAGGCUGCUUCUCUUGGGAUUGAACUCAGGGCCUUCACAUUGAACUACAUCUCCAGCCUUUUUUUUUUUUUUUUUUUGAGAUUGAGUCUCACUGUGCUCCCCCCAAGUGAGACUAGAACUUGUGUCCUUCCUGGUUCAACUUCAGAAUGCUGGGAUUCUAGGUUCAGACACUUGACGAAAAUGUGUUUGGGUUGAAUUCUCCCAAGGCUUUACAGAGUGAUGUACUCUCAGCCGUCCAUUUUUCCAUGGUCCUGGGGUCAGCUGCUUGACACCAGCAUCCACAGCUGCCAUGUCUUUUCCUUGAUCCCUAGGAGUGAAGUAUGUGAAAGUACUUGCAUGACCAUAGAAAACCAUCACUUUUUUUUAUGUUCUAAAGAAACUUGUGGUGUUUUUGUGUGUGUUUUAAAGAAACUACUCCCCUUCUCUCCCAGGGUGGGUUGAUUACAAUCCAGACUAUAAGGGCACUUUAGAGUUAGGGUGCUAUUAUAUAUGGUCAGGUUGAUGCUUAGUGUUGGAGAUUCUUUCCCAAUUUCUAUAUAGUGCUUUGUCUGAGGCAGGAUUCAUGCCCAAGUGUGCCUUGGCUUUCCUCCUGCUUUGGUGUGCUAGUUUUCUUAGUUGCCCAGUGUCUCAUUUACUUUUGUGUUGCUGAGACAGAAUACCUGACACCCACAACUUAAAGAAGGAGAGGUUUAUUUUAGCUCACAGUUUGUAGAGGCUUCAGACCAUAGUCAGCUGGCUCCAAGGCAGGGCAACAUGGCUGAGGAGAAACAGCUCAUGAUACCACAGCAGGAAGCAGAGAGAGAUCAAGGGAGGAGAGAGAGAUAGACCCUUCCAGCCAUGACCCUCGCGACUACCUUCUCCAACUUGGCUCCACCUCCCAACAUCACAUUUAGCUAUAAACUCAUUAAUGGACUAGUCCACUGCUGAGUAUCACAUCCCCAUGAUCUACCCCUAUGAGUGUAUGAGGCUUUGGGUGACAUUGAGACAUAAACCAUAGCACCCAGUACAUUGAAGUCUGUCAUUUCACUUAUGCCUGCCUUUCAGAGGAACCUGAAACAAGAGUAGAUGUUUUUUCAAGGACACAGUGACUCUGCCCCCCCCCCCCCCAUCUCCUAUAAACAUCUGCAAUUUUUGCUGUGGGAGAUUGAACCUACCACCUCAUACAUGUUGGGUGUCCACUCUGAGAUUGAGCUAUGUGCCCAGCCCCACCACCUGUCGUUUGGUCAGUUUACAUUUGAUAUCAUUCCUGAUAUGGUUGGGUUUGUGUAAGCCUCUCUGCUACUCUUACCAAAACAAACAAGUCUUACAUCCAUAUGGAUUCUUCUGUGGAUUUUGUUUUGUGAUAAUUUGUUAUUAUUGCAAUAAUACAGUUUUAUGAUAUGCACUAGUGUACAAGUAAUGAUCAUUACUCCUAUUGAUUUCAUAAUUCAGAAGUUUCUUGGCUAAUUUUAUCUAUGUAUGUAUGUAUAUAAGAUACAGAAGUAGAUAUAAACAUAUAUUUACUCUCCCAGAUGAAUUUUUAAAUUUUUCUUUGCUUUUUCCAUAAAAAUAAAGCAUGUUCAAAUUUUAAUGGGCUAAUGUAGAGUAAUUUGAAAAAAUAAUCACCUUUGUAAUAAUGAGUUUCAUUAUCUACAAAUAUUAUAUGUGUAUUUGAGUCUUUACAUGAGUGUGACAUUCAUGUAAAAUUUAGGUGUUUUUUUAAUUGCUCUGUUAAACUAGACAUAUAAGAGUUGGAAUGUUGCUGGCCUCUAGAAGGUAACACACACCCUAUUAUUUAUUUAUUUCUUAAUGCAUCUCCUCUUCCCCUACUUCUUAAACUUUAACAGUUGAAAUUAAUGCUACUGUACCUUUAUAUGUUAUCAUGGUACACAUUUGUAGUAAUUUCUGUAUCUGUGCUGGUGUUAUGGAAAUCUCGGAAAGAAAUGUUCGAAGACACAGAACUCAGGUAAAACAAAUAAGGUUUACUUGCAAGCCUGUGGGACUGCCAGAAACUGGUCUGGUCAGAGUCCCCCUCCUCUUUUGUUAGUCUCUUCUCUUUAUACUUUUUGUUGGUCAUUGUCUCCUUCCUUGUGGUCUUUGAUGUGUAAAUACAAUUCCGGUUCCUACCUACAAGUCACAGACACAGGAUAGGCACAUAUAUACUGUAAAUUCACUUAGGCAUUUGCAACUUUCUUAGGUCAAAAUGUUAUCUAUAAUUAGAUUACUGGCUAACACCUUAAACAUUAAGAGCAAAGAGAAAAGCAAAUUUUAAAGGAAUACCUUCAUAUUCAAUCUACUAAGCUACUUAAAACUUUUGUUUUUCUAUCAAUGUGAUUUACAGAAAGCUUCAGGUCUAUGCUACUUUUGCUAGCAAGGCAUGGUAAUUGUUAUUUUAGUUUGGACAUCUGGCCCAAUUCAAGUGGGGGGUUUCGGUUAAGAAAUGCUGCAGGCAUUUCCUUAUCUAGGGAUAUUUUACAUAUCCCUUGACACUGGUGUAGGUAAAUAUUGUUUAUCUUCAGUAGCCAAGGUUUUCCCCGGAAAGAGAAUAACAACUGUAUCUUCCCUAGAGUUCAUUUGUUCCAUAUGUUCAUCAGUGCUCUUUGGUUUUGUCUAUUAGAUGUGACUUUAUAAUACAUUUCUCUUAAUUUCUAAAGAUGAUAAGAUUUUUAUGACUGUUGAAAACUUAGAUAUUUCCUACACAAAGAGACUUUUCAAGCCUUUUGCUUCCUUUGUUUUGUGACAGGGUGUGUGUCUUUACUUGUUUUAUUAAAAAUAUUUGAUCAUAUAUGAAAGGAAAUGAUGUCUCCUACUGCCCCAUUUCUAUUUGUACUCCUUAAUAACUUCAUUUAAUGGCCUUUUUUUUCAUGUAAUACAAUUUAUGAAUAUUUACUUUUUAAAUAUUGUUUUGUGUUUGAAAAAUAUUUCUUGUCCUAUUGCAGCUUUUGAAUGUUUUAUAGGUUGUUUUUAUAUUUGUUUAUCUUCUACCUCAGAAAAUUAUUAUAUAUGAAGAGCAAAGGCUACAAUUGCAUUUUUCUUUUUUUUCUUUUGUUGCCACAGAGAUACCCCAUCAUCUCAUCAGCUUUCAUUUGGAAAAGUUAUCAUUUUCCUACUUAUCUGCAGCCCAAUAUAUUACAUUCACAGUGUGUAACUGGCAGCUGUAUUUUUAAGGAUUUUGUCUUUAGUUAUGCAGAUUUCUUUACUUGUGUCAUUGCCAGGUCUAUACCAAUUAUGAUAGCAUUAUGACACAGCCAUGCUCUGCACUAUGAAACUGUGCUUCCUGUGGACUUCCUAUGCAAGAGUGGUUACAGUGUGUCAUCUUAUGUCAUCUCAUGUCAUCUCGGUGUAUAGUGGGCCGUGCACUCUAGCAGGGUGUAAGCACCUGCUGUGAUGAUGGCUCCUUUAUAGAAUCACCAGACUAUGUAUUUCUUAAGGGCAUCUCCUUGUGAAGUGAGCCAUGACCAUGCUUAUCCAUUGCCCUUGUAUAGUAUAUAAUUACCAUAUGACUUUCCUUACUGAUGUUUCAUUUCAUUACUGUUGUAGAAGGACCAAUAUUUGACAUUGCUGAUGCUCCCUGUGGUAUGUUCAUGGUCAGUGUUUUUUAAUUUUGAUCUUGGGAUUUUCUUUUCUAUACUCAUUUUUAUAAAAUUUGGCUUUUCUAACCUAUCAAGACUAUUGGUUAACUAAUGAAUGCUUAGUUUUUUAAAUUUCUACUUAAGACAGUGUGCUUCUUUUUUAACCUCAGCUUUACAUGAUUUUAUUCAUUUUUACAGGUUUGAGGUAUAAUUGACAAAUACUAAUAUGCAUUUAGUUAAAGAAACAUAUUUUAUCUUUUCACCCAUAUAUGCAUCCAUGAAAUGAGCACCACAGGAAACAGUUAACAUAUCCACUAACCAAAGUUUUUUCUAGUGCCUUUCCAUGACACUUUAAUAAAUUUGAUUUUAUUGAUCAAAAGAAAAACAGGGUAAAAAUAACAAUUACAUAGCUCCACAAAAUAUCACAAAGGGAACAUACCCUACAGUUGCUACCUAGGUUAAGAAAUGCAACAUUAUCAAAGCCCAAAAGAACAUUUUCAUGCUCUCUUGCUAUCAGUGUCCCCUCUAUCCUCCUUAGUGAUAACUAUUAUUUUUCUAAUUCAGCUGUUACUCUUAGAGAAUUCUUGUAGAAUAUCUUGGUGCAUUUCUGUUCUGCAUAGUGGUAGAAUUAAGAGUUCGCAGGAUAUGCUUGGAUAUAUUCUGCCAAACCAUUUUCCAAAUUGUAUCUGCCAGUUUACACCAGCACCAAUCAUACCUCCAAUCACUUAAUAUCUUUUUGAUUGUUGUUUUAAUUUAAAAAAAAAAAUUGUUAUUUUUAUCUUUCUGGUGAGAAUGCAACAGAAUCUGCUGGUUUUAAUUUUAACUUCUCUUAUUAGUACUAAUUUGUACAUAUGUUCAUAUAUUUAUUUGUCAUUUGUAUGUUUCAUUUUUGAAGUGCCGGUUUUAAUUUUAACUUCUCUUAUUAAUACUAAUUUGUACACAUAUUCAUAUAUGUGUCAUUUGUAUGUCUCAUUUUUGAAGUUCUUUUUGAAAUCUCUUGGCUAUUCUUUUAUUGUGUUGUGCUAUCUGGUUGUUCUUUAGAAAUAAAUAAUGCCUAAUAUAUUUUGCAUCACAAGCCCUUUACUAGAAAUGUGUGCUGCAAACAUCUUUUCCCAUUUCAUCUCCUACCUUUGUACCUUUGCACGCUAUUAAUAAUAUUAUUUGAUAAACAGAAAUUUGCAAUUCUAGUGAAAUUUUAUGUGGAUUCCUUGUACUUUUUCAUUACAGUUUGUAAUAGAUAGUUAUGGUAUUAACAUGAAUAGAAAUGUCUAGCAGAUUGGUUUAACACAGUACUGGGUGUGUUUGGAUGAGUGACUUACUGAAGAGGAAAGACCCAUCCUGGUUAUAGGUGCCCCAACCAAUAGGCUUGUAGCCUUGAAGGAAUAAAGAGGGAAGAAGAAGGAAGUCUUGAUUCUGUUUCUUCAGAGAAGCUCCAGUCUUCUCUAUUGCCUUUGGACAUCUGACUCCUGGUUUCUAGUGCUAACUCUUUAGACUUCCAAGCCAGACCCUUUGGCCUCAGGAUUACGGACUGGCAUGAGACUCUGCAGUGAGCCCCAGGCCUUUGACUUUGGACCGGGACCUCUGGCUUUCCAGGGUGCAGACAGCCUUUGUGUACUCUGUCAUACCUGACUCUUCAGGAAGACAUUGUAAGCCUACGUUGUAAAUCCUCUAUGUUUUGAGUUCAUACUUAAAAACUCAACUUAUAAGAAAACUUUUGUAAUACCAAAGUCAUUAAAUUUUUUUUCCUCAAAUUUACUUUUUUGCCUUUAAGUCUGUGGAUAUUUUGUACGGUAUAACAUAGGAACAAAAAUUGUAUUAUUAUUAUUACCAGUAUAAUCUGUGGUGCUGAAGAUUGAACCUAGUGUCUUUAUAUAGAGCUACAUCCACAGACUUUUUCUUAUUUUUCCUUUUGGCACGUGGUCUCACUAAAUCAGUGAGUUAUUCAGACUGGGCUCAAGGUUGUGAUCCUCCUGGCUGAGGUUCCCACAGUGCUCAGCUUAGUUUUUUUUUCUUCUCCUUAACAGUUGUCCAUUUGACCAAACAACAUUCAUUGAAAACUUGAGAGUAGUACAGAAUAAUAAAAAUUGCAUGUAUGCAUUGCCUACCAUAUCAGGAGAUAUAUGUACAUAUUCUUUUUUCAUUAUUUCAUAAAACGUUAGUACUUAUUUUGAAUUUAAUAUACUGCUUAAAAUUAAUGAUUGCUAAUCAAAAGAUCUUUCAGAUUUGGUAACAGAUAUUUAUCUAAGUUCUUGCCCUAUAGAUUUUGCCUUAGUUAUAAAGGUCACAUUUUGCUGAACAAAUAUUGUGUGAGAAGUAAAGUCAGGUAUGGUGUCACAUAAUCCCAGCUACUUUGAACGUUAAGAGGUUAAUGCAGGAGGAUAACAAGUGUGAGACCAGCUUGGGCAACUCAGUGAGAUAUUGUAUAUAAAAAAAAAAGGUCUGGGGAUGUAGUUCAGCACAAGGUCCUGGGUUCAGUCUCCAGUGCUAAAGAAAUAUAUAAGUAAAUAAGAGAUCUAAUAAAUGUUUAGAGGAAAUACCCUCAGUGGUAAUAUUAAUAUAAUUUUAAUUUUAAAAAUAAAGGUGUAACAGAGAACUAAAUCCUGUGACCUCUGAAAUAAGAUUGGCCUCAAUGAAAUUCUCAUAUGGAUUAAAUGCAAAUUUGUUGCAAAAUACAAGUCACUCCAGGCCAGGAAGCUUAAACCACCACAGGAUUCAAUGAUUUUGGAAAACAAAAGAUGAAGUGCUCAAAUGGGAAGGUGUCUUAGAGGAGAAUGCCACACUGACCAUUCCCACAUAUUCCAGAGGAUGAGUUGGCUUGGCUUAGUGUAUUCACCAUCAAGUUCUGAGGAAGGUGGAGGCAGAAGACACAGUCGCUGAUGAUUCAGUAUUUUUAAAGUUACAGGCAGCAUUAACUCUGAGGAUCUUGAGGUAUUUAUUUAUAACUGAAAUAGAGUAUAAUGUAAAAUAGAGCAUCAGAGAUAGUCACACUCCAUAGAGCCAAAUUUUGUUUAAAAUUUGUUUCCAGCUCUCGAGAGUAUAAAGAUGUGUACUGGGAUGUAAUAUAAAAUGUAUUUCUUACAUACAUUUAAUUCCAAAGUGCUUUUAAAGCCAGGUUACUUUUACUCAUAUUACCUAUGACAUAUCUUCUGCAAAUUGUGUCUUGUUGGUAAUUUACAUAUCAUACACACCUCCCUGCUAGGAGAAAAAGUACUGGACUUGAGCUUCAUAUCUUCUUGCAUUUAUGUGUGUUUCUUAUGUUCUCCUGUGUAUCCUAUACUGCAGUUCCCCACUGCUCCAUAGUGCCAGUCCUGGAAUAAAUAAACAUUGUUCAAAGAGAACAGGUGGGGUUGGAGUUUCCAUGAUGAAAGAUGACAAUGAGGUGAAUGGAUGAAAGGAAACUCAGGUUCCUGAGAGUUGAGUAGUAAACUAGGGCCAGUGCAGGUGUCUAGCCAGUGUGGUUGCCAUACUGUCAGUAGAGCUUUCUGUUGUCUCCAUUCCAGGUCUCUUCCUUCCCUUACUAUCACAGCACCUUUCCCAGUACCUCUCCCCUUGAAAACAGAACCCUCUCUUCCUGCUUCCUUGAUCUCUGACAUGUGGCUUGCAUGAAGUUCUGGGGCUCAAGAAUGAUAGACUGCAUCAGAAACCCUCCCAGAGGCUAUUCACUAUCUGGCCACUGGCUCUUCUACUUCACUCUUAGGCUCUUCACCUGCUACAUCUCCACAUCAGCCCUUCCUCCCCUUCUUUAUGUGGCCCUUGGAGUGAUGGUUGGAUGGAGUGCCAGUCAUCACCAGAGAGCAGACAGUGAACAGAUUGGUGACAGGACAGGAAGAGAUAGUGAUGAAGUAGAGAUUAGGAUUGCUUUACAACUCUGGAGGUGGCUCUGUUAAGGACAAAUAUCUGUGUUUAUCACAUAGGCUUUGGCUGCUAAUCUGUGUACACAAAUUCUGUAAGUCACCCAGCAGGAAUCCAGUUACAUCAAUAAUAACAUUAAAUGUGAAGUUAUUAAAUUAUUCUAGCAACAGGUAAAGAUUGUGAGAUUGACAAGCAAGAUUCUAUUCUUUAUCUAAAGGUGUCACCUUUUAGAUUUAAAUACACAGACGUUUUAAAUGUAAAAGGACAAAAAUAGAAUUGUCUUGCAAAGAGAAAUCACAGGAAAGCUAUAAACAGCCAUAAUAAUGGUGGACAAGACAGAUUUGUAAGAAAUAGUUAUUAAUGAUAAUAAGGGGCAUCUUAUAAUGCAAAAUUAUAAACAGUAAGCAAGAAAGCACCAGUGUCAUUACCCACCCAUCAAAAUGUAACUAAAACAUGAAACAAAAACUGAAAGAGGUAGAAGUAGAAAUAAAACUUGCAAGCAUAAUAGUUAAGUGAGGUGUUGUGCUCCAUUCCUAUAAUCACGACUCUUAAGAGGCAGAGAUAGGAAGAUUAUGGACUCAAGGCUCACCAAGACCACAUAGUAAGACCCUGUUUCAAGAAGACAAAAAAAGACUGAAAAAGAGUACUGGUUACAGACUUUUAAAACCUACUUUUCAAUAAUGGAUAGGACAGCUAGGCGUUAGAAAAGCAUGGAGUGGGAUACAGAAACAACUUUGCAGUCCUGCUAGAGUAUACACAGCCUUCACCCAACAACAGCAGAAUAAACAUUCUCAAACAAGGCUUUGUAGCAAGGCUUAAACAGUAAAUGCAAAAGGAUAAAUAUUAUUCCCUGCAUUUUCUCCUGUCACAAAGGAAUAAAUCUGGGAAUUAAAAAUACAAAGAGACUUGGGAAAUUCAAAUAGAUGGAAUUAAAUAAUAGCUUCCAGUACUUCAAAAUAGCCAUAGAAGAAAUCAAUAGGGACAUUAAAAAUAUACAUUUUGAAAAAAAUAUAUGCCAAACUUUUGAAAGGCUUCUACAGCAGUGGUUGGAAGGAAAUUUAUAUUUGUAAGUUUCUGUAUUAAUAAAAAAGCAUGAUCCUAAUUCAGUAUCAUUAAGUUCCAUGUUAAAACACAGGAAAGAAUACCAAAGAGAAUCUAAAAUAAUCAGAAGGAUGGAAAUAACAGUUACAGCAGAAAUCAAAGAGUAAAAUUGGAGAUAAUAGAAGUGAACAAAAUAGUUUAUAAUAGAUGAAAAGUUAAAAAAACUUUCAGUUAGAUCAGGAAAGAAAUAGACUCAAAUAACUAAAACCAAAGAUUAAUGAAGAAGUAUUGCUACCAACCUUACAGAAACAAGAAUGUGUAAAGUAUAAUAAU